Molecule: long non-coding RNA, 5177 nt
Filed under: Vitis vinifera (wine grape)
Lineage: Eukaryota; Viridiplantae; Streptophyta; Magnoliopsida; Vitales; Vitaceae
Description: long non-coding RNA (VVIN_LNC001392)
Source: RNAcentral
AUAAUGUGGUGGCUUCUCUCCCUUAGGUGGCUUGCCAACUGGGGUUGGUGGCUUGUGUUCAGGAAGUGGUUUCUCUCCCAUGGGAGGUUUAGCAAUUGGGGUUGGUGGCUUGUGUUCUGGGAGUGGCUUCUCUCCCUUGGGAGGUUUAGUAGGUGACUUGUGUUCUGGAGGUGGCUUCUCCACCGGAGGCUUGUGCUCCGGUGGUGGCUUCUUGGUUGGAGGGGGCUUGGGGUAAUCAGCAAGAGAUGGGGUGGUGAGAACCACCAGUCCAAGGAACAACACUAGCAAGUAUGUGGGAGACAUUUUUGAGUUUGGGCUGAUCAGAUGAUGCAAAACUAAAGCAUUACGUGACCUUUUAUAGCAUGUAGCUCCCAAUACCCACUAAGUAUUGUGGGGUCCAUUUGUGCCCUACGGGGUUGAAAACUUAGACAAUUGGGCAAGGACCCACCUGACUAUGGAGGACUAGUGAGGUGUGAUCAUAGCUUUAGGAUUUUUCUUCCUCUGCAGCCGUCGUGCCGUUGGCAUGAUUUUCUUAAUCUUAAAUAAAGGCAUAGUUAUAGAGUUGUUUAAUCUCUAAAUGGGAUUUUAUAUAUAUCUUCAGAUAGCCAUUAAUAUAUUUGAUGAAGAAAGAAAGACAAGUGCAUACAACAUGUAUACGACUAGCUUUCAUGGAGUUCAUUUAUGAUCAGUUUUCCUGUACAUGUAAACCAGGAUCAUAUAUAUGUUUCUGUUCCACAACUAUUUUGGAAUCUUGUUUAUCAGUUUUUAUCAUUAUAAUGUCACAUAGGCUGCCAACUUGGGCGCUAAAAGAACCAGUUGGGCUAGUUCGUUUCAGAAUUUCAAUGUGGAUUCAGGAAUUGUUUUGUAAGAUAUGCGAAAUAGUAGAGGGAUGAAUAGUGUUUCAUUAAUAAAAGUGUCCUGUAAAUUAGAAGGUGUCAUAGAAACUAUAAUCAAUAAAUAACUUUUUUUCCCCACGGGUGGUGUUUCUUGUGGGGAUCAGUGACUGGUUUAGGUUCACCCAAAAUGAGUUCAGACUAAAAUUGGUUUGAGUCAAUGCCGUGUCUCUUUUUUCCAGAAAUCAACUAUUUUAUGCAUUGAAUAAAUCAUACAAAGAAAAUAUGAACGCCCGCAAAACCUAAACCCUGGUUGCUAACUUUCUAUGUUUCAGUUCUAUUCACGCAAGAAUAUUAGUUUAAGUUUGGGAAAAAUGGCAACUUACCUAGUGAUUACUUGGUUUUGGUUUGCGACUAUUUACGCAACCAACCAUGAGUUUGACUUUAACGUCAUGGGUUGAAGCCUCCUACAGGAAGGGAGAAAGCUCCACAGCUAGCUCCAAAAGAGAAUUAUCACAUUGAUAGCUCCAGAGAUUCCCAAGGGGACUGAAUCAAAGACAAGUUCCUCACUUUUUCUUCUUUUGAGGCCAAAUAUGAACCAAGGAUCACACAACCUCAUUCAACUUCAUAAGUUUGAUUUCAUGCAGUUGAACACUGGGUGAAGGCCAUGACAAGAAUUGAUUCAAAAAUUCUAUCACUCUUUUAAGUAAUGGAAGAUUAUUAUCUCUGAUUGGCAUCACAACAGCACAUGCUCCUAGAUCUUUCUAGACACUCCAUGCAAUGAAAGCACAAUGGAUCUUGUAACGAUAGAAACUAAGCCAUGCUACAGUACUAGAUGAUGAGGUAAAACUAGUAGACACGGGUGGCAGCCUAUAUGGGAGGGACACAAGUCUAAUUGAUUUGCAUUUCAGCAUUAUAGAUAGGUAUGUUUUGGAAGAUUUGUUCUGGAAAUACCGCACCAAGUAGGAUUCUUUUUCUCUUUAGUGGGUCCACUUGCAUGCCAAUUAACGAGUUGAAAAGUAUGAGCACCUACCUCGUGCUCGUGGAACCGAAGGUCAGUGAAGUGGGGCUCCUUUUGGCCUCGUGUAAACUUGAUUCAGAAGUGAAGUUAAUAGUCUUCCAUUCAGAUGGAUACAUGGGAAUUUUUCUCUUUUAUUUAUUUAUUUAUUUUUUUUUUGUGUGUGUAUGUCAAAGGAUAAUGAAUGAAGCGCGUUAGCUUGUUUUCUGACUGGAACCGCAGAUGUCCAAAUUGGAGUUCCUUCAUUUCUUACUUAGGAUUGUUACAUGUAUAAACAAGGUAUAAGAAAUAUGCCAACGUGUCUUGAGGAGUUAUUGAUUAGAAAUAACAAGUCACCCGACUGUAGAGUUCCAAGAUUUGAAUCUUCAGACCCUAUAGCAGCCUCUGGGGUACGUGGCAUCCUAUAGCAUAUUAAUGAAGGCUUUUUCGAUUUAGACUUCACAAUACCAAUUAAUAUGUAUGCACAAAAUGGAGAUGACCCCAAAAAAAACAGAAUCGCCAUAGUUUAUGAGGUUAAGGUGAUUCUCCACUUAAUAUCUACAUUAGCUAAUUAUGUAAAUCAAAUGAACUUCUAUUUUUCCUUUUUUUUUUUGGUUUAUGUCAAAUAGUAGCCCAUAAUUAACCCAACCAUUAGCCUGUUUGAAUUGAUUUCACAUGCACAAUGUUGUAGUAGUUCAUAUUUUGAAUUUUAUUUUUACAAAGGUAGUUAAGGAAAAUGAAGUAUAAUAAUUAUAAAAGCAGACUAUAUACACUACAAUAAUUGUUAGAAUGGUAUCUCAAAUUCUAAUUUAAAAUAUUAUUUUUUGUAAAAGAAAUAUUAUAUAGAAUAUUUCCUAAUUUUAUAAAUGAUUAUAAUUAGAUCUUUAUAAAAUAAGGAAAGUUGGUAAGAAUAUCUUUAUAAAUAUUUUAGGUCAUGAGAGAAAGAAAUGGGAUAAAAAUGUGAUGAAGAGGUGAAAUAAGAGAGUUGAUUAGGAUAUAGAUGUGAAGAAGAAAGGGAUUCAAUAUAUAUAUAUCUUUCAAUUACCACAUUAAAACCCUGUGAACCUUUUAUAUGGUUUACUUUAUUUUUAUAUUCCUCCUUUAAUAUAUUUACAUUAAUGCUUCCAUUGGCACAACAAUAACGAAUUACAAAUACAAGCAACAAGUCCCAUGUUUUAUUACCAAAAGCAGGUAAAAUCCACCUAAUAUAUUACAAUAUAUUCAUCCAAUAUUUUAGACCAAUUCUUCACCAUAAAUAUCAUAAUGUGGCUUUUGUUCUUUCUUAAAUUUAAAUUGAAUUGUCUUAUAUCAAUUUGUUUGUGAUUUUUUCAUUAACUUCACUUUCAUUUGGUUAUCUUUGGUUUUUGAAAAGUAUUAAGGAAUUAAUUAACAAAAUAAUGUUAAGAAAAAUAAUUUUCUCUCUUUUGAUUUUGAUUUUGUAGUAGAAAAAUAUAAUUAAAAUUAUUUAAAAAGUAUGUAAUUUUAAAUUAUUUAAUAUUUAGAUAAAAAAAAUAAGUCUAAUGAGUUUAAAAUAACAUAUAAAAAUAAUUUAUUUAUUUUAAAUUUAUUUUUUAUUUUCCAUUAUGUUCUCUUUCUCUUUUACUUUUUCAUAUUUUUUCUUACGAAGAAUCAAACACAACCUCAUAUUAUAUGUCAAGUGUUUGUCUAUAUUUGAGCAAUGUUAGAUACGGCCAUGGAUUCAUCAAACUAAACUGAUUUUAAUAGAUACUUCACAAAUUGAUUUAUACACUAAAUCAUUGGAUAGCAAUGAUGCAUUGGAAUUAAACGUAGGAUGAAGCUCGAAGAACACUGUUUGUGUAACAACAUAUUUAUGAAAUUAUGCAAAGGAUGAGCUUCGGGGUAGUAGUACAAGGUCAUUAAUGGAGAGCCGUGUUAAACCUUGAUUGUGAUUGGAUUCCGUUAUCAGCAACAGCAACCUUGUUUGUAACCUUGAAAGUCAUUCUGUCCACAUCGAAACUCCAAUUUGACGUUUGUAAUUACCAUUCCUGGAGUGUUCCUUGAUUGAAAUUUAAAUAAUAAUUGCGGCCCACAAGGAAUAUUUUCGAUUCUGUGGGAAUUUGACAAGGUUUGUUAGAGAAGACUGGUGACAUGUUGACUUCAAUGGUUCAAAUAGGAGACGUAUGUGGAUUUGGGGGGUUUAAUUGAAACUGAGUCCCUAUGGCUUUUUAAUAUUUGCAUUGAGCAGUCUCCAUGUGACUUCCUAAUUCCCACCAACCCUCCUGUCCAUGCUGUGAAACUAAAUUGUAAUUUAUCAGCCUUUGUCAAUGGUUUCUAAAUUAAAGAUAUAGACCAUGCAUGUACUUUAAUAAAAGCAAAUCUAAAGUGUAGAUAGCAGCAAUGGUGACACCCAAUAUUCUCCAUAAAAUAGAAUUAGAAUAAGCAGUGUUACAUUGUUCAUGAUCACCUACAAGCAUACAAGAACUUCCAUGAAUAACUCAUAGCAAUUGCCAACAGGGCGUCGUAGAGACUCAUACAUAGAACACUAUCCACCCAGAGGAAAGGACAAGACCAGUGCGCUGCAGCUCUUAUUUUUCACAUGUAUACCACCACUCGUAAUAACCAAAUUCACUCAGUUGGGAUAGGUGGGAGAUGGUGGUUUGUGGGGUGGCUUGUGGGGAGGAGUUGGAGGAGGCUUUAUUUUCUGAGGCGGCUUGUAUGAGUGUGCAGGAGGAUGCCCGGGAGUGUGACCAUAAUGUGGUGGCUUCUCUCCCGUAGGUGGUUUGCCAAAUGGGCUUGGUGGCUUCUCUCCCUUAGGAGGUUUACCAAUUGGGGUUGGUGGCUUGUGUUCUGGGAGUGGUUUCUCUCCCUUGGUAGGUUUGCCAAUUGGGGUUGGCGGCUUAUGUUCUGGGAGUGGCUUCUCUCCCUUGGGAGGUUUGCUAAUUGGGGUUGGCGGCUUAUGUUCUGGGGGCGGCUUCUCUCCCUUGGGAGGUUUGCCAAUUGGAGUUGGCGGCUUAUGUUCUGGGAGUGGCUUUUCUCCCUUGGGAGGCUUGCCAAUUGGGGUUGGCGGCUUAUGUUCUGGGGGUGGCUUCUCUCCUUUAGGAGGUUUGCCAAUUGGAGUCGGCGGCUUAUGUUCUGGAAGUGGCUUUUUUCCCUUGGGAGGUUUGCCAAUUGGGGUUGGCGGCUUAUGUUCUGGGGGUGGCUUCUCUCCCUUGGGAGGUUUGCCAAUUGGAGUCGGCGGCUUAUGUUCUGGGAGUGGCUUCUCUCCCUUGGGAGGUUUUGUUGGUGGCUUGUGUUCUGGAGAUGGCUUCUCCCCUGGAGGCUUGUGCUCCGGAGGUGGCUUCUGAAAUGGCGGGGGCUUGGGGUAAUGAGCAAGAGAUGGAGUACUG